CCCUUAGAUGUUCUGGGCCGCACGCGCGCUACACUGACGAUGGCAACGAGUUUUUCCUUCGCCGAAAGGUGUGGGUAAUCUUUUGAAACAUCGUCGUGCUGGGGAUAGAUCAUUGCAAUUUUUGAUCUUGAACGAGGAAUUCCUAGUAAGCGCGAGUCAUCAGCUCGCGUUGAUUACGUCCCUGCCCUUUGUACACACCGCCCGUCGCUACUACCGAUUGAAUGCUCAGGUGAGCCAUUCGGACUUUCAUCAUGCUGGUUUCCAGUUUUGAUGAAGGAAAGUCUUGCGAACCUUAUCAUUUAGAGGAAGGAGAAGUCGUAACA
Molecule: ribosomal RNA, 323 nt
Filed under: uncultured eukaryote
Lineage: Eukaryota
Description: partial 18S ribosomal RNA
Rfam family: Eukaryotic small subunit ribosomal RNA
Source: RNAcentral